ACGCUGGCGGCGUGCCUAAUACAUGCAAGUAGAACGCUGAAGGAGGAGCUUGCUUCUCUGGAUGAGUUGCGAACGGGUGAGUAACGCGUAGGUAACCUGCCUGGUAGCGGGGGAUAACUAUUGGAAACGAUAGCUAAUACUGCAUAACAGUAGAUGUUGCAUGACAUUUGCUUAAAAGGUGCAAUUGCAUCACUACCAGAUGGACCUGCGUUGUAUUAGCUAGUUGGUGGGGUAACGGCUCACCAAGGCGACGAUACAUAGCCGACCUGAGAGGGUGAUCGGCCACACUGGGACUGAGACACGGCCCAGACUCCUACGGGAGGCAGCAGUAGGGAAUCUUCGGCAAUGGACGGAAGUCUGACCGAGCAACGCCGCGUGAGUGAAGAAGGUUUUCGGAUCGUAAAGCUCUGUUGUAAGAGAAGAACAGGUGUGAGAGUGGAAAGUUCACACUGUGACGGUAUCUUACCAGAAAGGGACGGCUAACUACGUGCCAGCAGCCGCGGUAAUACGUAGGUCCCGAGCGUUGUCCGGAUUUAUUGGGCGUAAAGCGAGCGCAGGCGGUUAGAUAAGUCUGAAGUUAAAGGCUGUGGCUUAACCAUAGUACGCUUUGGAAACUGUUUAACUUGAGUGCAAGAGGGGAGAGUGGAAUUCCAUGUGUAGCGGUGAAAUGCGUAGAUAUAUGGAGGAACACCGGUGGCGAAAGCGGCUCUCUGGCUUGUAACUGACGCUGAGGCUCGAAAGCGUGGGGAGCAAACAGGAUUAGAUACCCCUGGUAGUCCACGCCGUAAACGAUGAGUGCUAGGUGUUAGACCCUUUCCGGGGUUUAGUGCCGCAGCUAACGCAUUAAGCACUCCGCCUGGGGAGUACGACCGCAAGGUUGAAACUCAAAGGAAUUGACG
Molecule: ribosomal RNA, 899 nt
Filed under: uncultured bacterium
Lineage: Bacteria
Description: bacterial SSU rRNA
Rfam family: Bacterial small subunit ribosomal RNA
Source: RNAcentral